CCUACGGGGGGCAGCAGUGGGGAAUAUUGCACAAUGGGGGAAACCCUGAUGCAGCGACGCCGCGUGAGUGAAGAAGUAAUUCGUUAUGUAAAGCUCUAUCAGCAGGGAAGAAAAUGCCGGUACCUGAGUCAGAAGCCCCGGCUAAAUACGUGCCAGCAGCCGCGGUAAUACGGAGGGGGCAAGCGUUAUCCGGAUUUACUGGGUGUAAAGGGAGCGUAGACGGCAGUGCAAGUCUGGAGUGAAAGGCGGGGGCUCAACCCCCGGACUGCUCUGGAAACUGUACGGCUGGAGUGCAGGAGAGGUAAGGGGAAUUCCUAGUGUAGCGGUGAAAUGCGUAGAGAUUAGAAGGAACACCAGUGGCGAAGGCGGCUUACUGGACUGUAACUGACGUUGAGGCUCGAAAGCGUGGGGAGCAAACAGGAUUAGAUACCCGGGUAGUC
RNAcentral lists this ribosomal RNA (440 nucleotides) under uncultured bacterium. RNAcentral describes it as "partial 16S ribosomal RNA". It matches the Rfam family "Bacterial small subunit ribosomal RNA", at positions 338 to 795 of the family's 1533-position model. The record is from RNAcentral.